CCCUUAGAUGUUCUGGGCCGCACGCGCGCUACACUGACGAUGGCAACGAGUUUUUCCUUCGCCGAAAGGUGUGGGUAAUCUUUUGAAACAUCGUCGUGCUGGGGAUAGAUCAUUGCAAUUUUUGAUCUUGAACGAGGAAUUCCUAGUAAGCGCGAGUCAUCAGCUCGCGUUGAUUACGUCCCUGCCCUUUGUACACACCGCCCGUCGCUACUACCGAUUGAAUGGUUUAGUGAGGACUCCUGAUUGGCGCCGCCGCCCCGGCAACGGAGCAGCGGACUGCCGAAAAGUUGUUUAAACUUGAUCAUUUAGAGGAAGUAAAAGUCGUAACA
RNAcentral lists this ribosomal RNA (329 nucleotides) under uncultured eukaryote. RNAcentral describes it as "partial 18S ribosomal RNA". It matches the Rfam family "Eukaryotic small subunit ribosomal RNA", at positions 1470 to 1796 of the family's 1831-position model. The record is from RNAcentral.